This 333-nucleotide unclassified non-coding RNA is filed under the name Hevea brasiliensis (rubber tree). The record is from RNAcentral. Lineage: Eukaryota; Viridiplantae; Streptophyta; Magnoliopsida; Malpighiales; Euphorbiaceae.
CGCAGGCCACGCUCAGUUACGGUAUUAUCUCAAUUUUGCACACAUUUAUCAUGACCAGACCUAACUUCUUCAUUAUUCUCCUUCUGCCCUUGGUAUUUUCCCGGAAUGACCAUUUUUUCCAAUUAGCGGACGGUGGGAAGCGAAGAAUCCACAUCGAGGAUGAUCUCGAUGACGUGAUUGACGACGAGGAGGACGAGGCCUGGAAACAGUGGGGCAAGAAAUCAACGCCGUCUUCCGAUGAGUUUGAUCCACCGCCUUCCGAUUUGUCCAACAUGGAAAUGUCGCAGAUCCAGGAGUUGAUGAGGAAGCAGCAUUUCGGGCCGGUUUUUGGCU